RNAcentral lists this ribosomal RNA (484 nucleotides) under uncultured bacterium. RNAcentral's name for it is "partial 16S ribosomal RNA". It matches the Rfam family "Bacterial small subunit ribosomal RNA", at positions 30 to 507 of the family's 1533-position model. The record is from RNAcentral.
AUUGAACGCUGGCGGCAGGCCUAACACAUGCGAGUCGAGCGGAUGAAGGGAGCUUGCUCCUGGAUUCAGCGGCGGACGGGUGAGUAAUGCCUAGGAAUCUGCCUGGUAGUGGGGGAUAACGUCCGGAAACGGGCGCUAAUACCGCAUACGUCCUGAGGGAGAAAGUGGGGGAUCUUCGGACCUCACGCUAUCAGAUGAGCCUAGGUCGGAUUAGCUAGUUGGUGGGGUAAAGGCCUACCAAGGCGACGAUCCGUAACUGGUCUGAGAGGAUGAUCAGUCACACGGGAAGUGAGACACGGUCAAGACUCCUACGGGAGGCAGCAGUGGGGAAUAUUGGACAAUGGGCGAAAGCCUGAUCCAGCCAUGCCGCGUGUGUGAAGAAGGUCUUCGGAUUGUAAAGCACUUUAAGUUGGGAGGAAGGGCAGUAAGUUAAUACCUUGCUGUUUUGACGUUACCAACAGAAUAAGCACCGGCUAACUUCGUG